UGGGGAAUCUUGCGCAAUGGACGAAAGUCUGACGCAGCGACGCCGCGUGGGUGAUGAAGGCCUUCGGGUUGUAAAGCCCUGUGGGUGAGGACGAAUAAGUGCAAUUUAACAAAUUGCAUGAUGACGGUACUCACUUAGCAAGCACCGGCUAACUCUGUGCCAGCAGCCGCGGUAAGACAGAGGGUGCGAACGUUGCUCGGAAUUACUGGGCGUAAAGCGUGUGUAGGCGGCCACGCAAGUCGGAUGUGAAAGCCCUGGGCUCAACCCAGGAAGUGCACCCGAUACUGCGACGGCUUGAGUACCGGAGAGGUUGGUGGAAUUCUCGGUGUAGAGGUGAAAUUCGUAGAUAUCGAGAGGAACACCGGUGGCGAAGGCGGCCAACUGGACGAGUACUGACGCUGAGACACGAAAGCGUGGGGAGCAAACAGGAUUAGAUACCCCCGUAGUCC
Molecule: ribosomal RNA, 449 nt
Filed under: uncultured bacterium
Lineage: Bacteria
Description: bacterial SSU rRNA
Rfam family: Bacterial small subunit ribosomal RNA
Source: RNAcentral